This 459-nucleotide ribosomal RNA is filed under the name uncultured bacterium. RNAcentral describes it as "partial 16S ribosomal RNA". It matches the Rfam family "Bacterial small subunit ribosomal RNA", at positions 338 to 795 of the family's 1533-position model. The record is from RNAcentral.
CCUACGGGAGGCUGCAGUGAGGAAUAUUGGUCAAUGGUCGGGGGACUGAACCAGCCAAGCCGCGUGAGGGAGGAAGGUACAGAGUAUCGUAAACCUCUUUUGUCAGGGAACAAAGGCGGGGACGUGUCCCCGGAUGAGUGUACCUGAAGAAAAAGCAUAGGCUAACUCCGUGCCAGCAGCCGCGGUAAUACGGAGGAUGCGAGCGUUAUCCGGAUUUAUUGGGUUUAAAGGGUGCGCAGGCGGUCUGUUAAGUCAGCGGUCAAACCCCGGGGCUCAACCCCGGCCCGCCGUUGAAACUGGCAGUCUCGAGUUGGAGAGAAGUAUGCGGAAUGCGCGGUGUAGCGGUGAAAUGCAUAGAUAUCGCGCAGAACUCCGAUUGCGAAGGCAGCAUGCCGGCUCCACACUGACGCUGAGGCACGAAAGCGUGGGUAUCGAACAGGAUUAGAUACCCUGGUAGUC